RNAcentral lists this long non-coding RNA (304 nucleotides) under Homo sapiens (human). Its description in RNAcentral is "HSALNT0135039". The record is from RNAcentral. Lineage: Eukaryota; Metazoa; Chordata; Mammalia; Primates; Hominidae.
CAAGAGAUUACAGGAAGAGGAAUACAGUAGAACAUCUAAGGCCCUGAGAAGGAGCAGAGGGGGCUUCAACAGCAGACUUGACUGGAUAGAAAAAAGAAUCAGCAAACAUGAAGCUAGGUCAUUUGAAAGUAAGAAGUCUGAGGACAAAAAAAAGGGAAGUAUGAAGAAAAGUGAACAGAGCCUAAGAGACUUACGGAAUAACAGUAAGUGGACCAAUAUACAUAUUACAUGAGUCCUAGAAAGGGAAGAGAGAGAGAGAAAGGGGAAGAAAGUUUAUUUGAAGAAAUAAUAGCUGAAAAAAAUA